This 253-nucleotide ribosomal RNA is filed under the name uncultured bacterium. Its description in RNAcentral is "partial 16S ribosomal RNA". It matches the Rfam family "Bacterial small subunit ribosomal RNA", at positions 524 to 776 of the family's 1533-position model. The record is from RNAcentral.
UACGGAGGGUGCAAGCGUUAUCCGGAAUUACUGGGUUUAAAGGGUGCGUAGGCGGCUUAGUAAGUCAGGGGUGAAAGGUCACGGCUCAACCGCGGAAUUGCCUUUGAUACUGUUGAGCUUGAAUCAGGAUGAGGUUGGCAGAAUGUGGCAUGUAGCGGUGAAAUGCAUAGAUAUGCCAUAGAACACCGAUUGCGAAGGCAGCUGGCUAGACCUUGAUUGACGCUGAGGCACGAAAGCGUGGGGAGCGAACAGG